UUUAUUUUAAAGGCUUCUGCAUGCUGUCACUUCUUUGUGCACUGCUCACUUGAUUCAUGCAAAAACAUUUCUAAUGACCUCAUCAUUUAACAGGUGUUUGUCUUCAGGUGAAAAGCACACUCUGAUAAAUACCAGGUAGAUACAUCACAUGAAGGGUCCAGUGAAAUAAUCCUUCAUGGCUGCAAACUACAGAAGCAUGAACGUCAGUGUUUGUUCUUAUUCGCCGUCUGGAAACUCAAACAGAGGAUGUUUGCUCUCUGUGAGGACAUGGGACCGUUCAGAGAUAAACUGACCCGACAAAGACAGUGAAGGAAAUGUUUCUCUGUGCAGAAGAUUAACCAGCUCCCUUUGUGUUCAGGAACAUCACGUUAUGGAACACUACGACCGCAGUCAGGCACUCACUGAGCUUUCCCUGGCGGACGUCCAGGCGUGACGCUCCAUUUACAAUGAACUGAGGCGACGGACAGAGCUCCUGAGAAGUUUCAUGAAAAACAAGAAGAAGAAGAAGAGAGACAAAUCAGAGAGGGACACAGACGAUGUUAAAUAAAUAAGACAGGAUUCAGCAUGUCUGGACGAUGUUAAAGGGAGGGACAGCGGCUCA
Long non-coding RNA from Notolabrus celidotus (New Zealand spotty), 601 nucleotides. RefSeq lists it as uncharacterized. Lineage: Eukaryota; Metazoa; Chordata; Actinopteri; Labriformes; Labridae. The record is from RefSeq and is a predicted model, not a curated record. The transcript has 3 exons.